This is a long non-coding RNA of Ictidomys tridecemlineatus (thirteen-lined ground squirrel), 1395 nucleotides long. RefSeq lists it as uncharacterized. The record is from RefSeq and is a predicted model, not a curated record. NCBI's taxonomy places the organism in Eukaryota, Metazoa, Chordata, Mammalia, Rodentia, Sciuridae.
GACCCUCCCACAAGCUUUUUCCCUUUCUAGCCUGACGGGGACCCUGGACCCAACCCUGAGAAACUUCAGCUGUCUGCCAAAGGUGACAGAGCCACUCAGCUAGGGUCCCUGAACGACAAGCACUCUUGCGUGUGUGACGGAAAUGGGAUCCCUCCAGGUCCACUUGUGACUCCACCUGACAGUCACCCUGUGCCCUUACUGCUUACUGUCUUCUCCCUCCAUGUGAACCACAUGCCGAGAGACCCUGUGGGCGCAGACAGGAGAGCUGUGGUUAGCAGGUGCCACGUCUGCUGCUGCUGCUGCAGCCCCGCGAGGUCCCAGGAGAGCAAGGAGCCGGGUACUCACGCGACUUUUCUUCUUUGAUGGUGUACUCGAGCACCUCAGAGGAGCCGUCGCUCGGGGAAGGGAAGUGCACACAGAGCACCAGGCGCUUCAAGCUGCUGUCCCUGCGGACCAGGAACAUCUGGAACCAAGAAGAGGCAGCUCCAUGAACCACAGUUGGGGGAGGCCAGAAGGACAUCAGGGAGCUGCUGUCAUCCGCAGGUUCCCAGGGCAGGAGGCAGGUGAAGAGACACGGCUGUCCCUGCUCACCCAGGACCUGCUCCCUCAGGCUGGGUGACAGCUGACUGAGCCACAGGACGCGCAGGAAGCUUAGCCUGCCAAGGACUCCCAGCUGUGGGCACAGAACUGGCAUCCAGCCCCGACACAGGCACUGGUGCCCAGGACCCUCUGACAUGGGCUUCUCCAUGCAGACCCCAGGACCGGCAGACCUGACUCUGUCUUGCCACGGAGUCUCUCCCCUGGACCGGAACCUGCCUGUGCUUUGACCCGGGGGUGGAACUGUGAGCUGAGGCCUGAACAUAGCCGGUGGAUUUGUUGACAUCUCUGGCUCAGGCCAUGGUUCCACUCCAGGGGGGGUCCCCACGGGCAGUGGUCUCCGUGGGGCGAUCAAGGGGAGAGGCCUCUCUGCUGUCUGUCACAAACUGCUGCCUUACAAUGUCCAUUUCAGACUCAGCUGGCCCUGCCCAAGCUCAUACCUCCUUCCCAGGUGACACCUUUGGGAACCACCCUGACUCCUGGGGCACAGCCUCCAGGGAAGGAGAGGGCCCCCUCCCCCCUCCCCUGCCCUGGAGUCUAAGUCUCCUGCACUCGGGCCCCAGGACCCCAGCCAGGACUAUGGCCCACCUUGCUGAGUCAGGCUGGGUGUAAGGCCAUGGGACACCCCAGAGGGCAAGCACAUGGCCUCAAGCCUGGGAGGCUCUGGAGGAGCACUUCCCGCGAGGCUCCAGGUCCUCUGCCGUCGGUACUGGUUACUGAUCUUCUUACUAUAUUGCUAGCAUUAUAACCGCUACUGCAAUUAUUAAUAAAACAUAGUAAUAAUAUUACUACUAUUGA